Long non-coding RNA from Hibiscus syriacus, 160 nucleotides. RefSeq lists it as uncharacterized. The transcript is spliced from 3 exons. The record is from RefSeq and is a predicted model, not a curated record. NCBI's taxonomy places the organism in Eukaryota, Viridiplantae, Streptophyta, Magnoliopsida, Malvales, Malvaceae.
AAGAUGUAUGCACCACCAAGCUAUGAAGCUAUGUCGUACCAUGAACAUGUCCGAAGAUGCCAUGAAGAAAAGGGUUGUCUUUAUGCUUGGUUAGGAUGAGUUUAAUCCUUCAAAAUUUUUAAACAAAACUUCUUUUUUUCUUUGUUUUUUUUCUGCAAUC